UUAGAUUGGUUAUAGAUGAAUUGAAGCUAGUAGUGGGCUAUACUAUUAAACUUGCUCUUAGNUUAUUAGAGCAAGUUUAAUAGUAUAGCCCACUACUAGCUCCAAAUCAUCUAUAGCCA
Molecule: microRNA precursor, 119 nt
Filed under: Oryza meridionalis
Lineage: Eukaryota; Viridiplantae; Streptophyta; Magnoliopsida; Poales; Poaceae
Description: pre miRNA mir-75
Source: RNAcentral